AGAUUAAGUUAUUAAGGGCGCACGGUGGAUGCCUUGGCACUAGAAGCCGAUGAAGGACGUUACUAACGACGAUAUGCUUUGGGGAGCUGUAAGUAAGCUUUGAUCCAGAGAUUUCCGAAUGGGGAAACCCAGCAUGAGUUAUGUCAUGUUAUCGAUAUGUGAAUACAUAGCAUAUCAGAAGGCACACCCGGAGAACUGAAACAUCUUAGUACCCGGAGGAAGAGAAAGAAAAUUCGAUUCCCUUAGUAGCGGCGAGCGAAACGGGAAGAGCCCA
Molecule: ribosomal RNA, 274 nt
Filed under: Staphylococcus aureus
Lineage: Bacteria; Bacillati; Bacillota; Bacilli; Caryophanales; Staphylococcaceae
Description: partial 23S ribosomal RNA
Rfam family: Bacterial large subunit ribosomal RNA
Source: RNAcentral